Molecule: long non-coding RNA, 4487 nt
Filed under: Marmota monax (woodchuck)
Lineage: Eukaryota; Metazoa; Chordata; Mammalia; Rodentia; Sciuridae
Source: RNAcentral
GUCCUCCAGUGGUCGCAGGAGCCAACGGGCACCGUGGUGCUCCAAGGUCCCCGAGGGAGGAGCUCGGGGUGCGACAGAGGGUGGGGAUUCUGGUGGCCGCCCUAGCCCACCACCUUUGCUCCACUCUCUUUGUCACCAAGUCCACCCCAGCUCCAGGCUGGAAUCCCCCUGGGGACGCCACCGCGUUAGGUAAUGACCCCUCGACAGCUGCGCUCCCCGCCCCGCGCCGCCCUCAGGAGGCAGGUUCGCACCUGCUGGGCCGCUUCUCGUCAAUUAGGCCUUGGCAGCGCGUCCCCGCGCCCCUCCCGCGCCGCCCGGUCCCCGCGCUCGCAGAUGGCAGCUCGGGCGCAGCUGCCUGCGGGGCUCGCGGGGCCACAGUGGGCAGGGUCCGCAGGUUGGGGGGCCGGCACACUGCGCCGGGCAGAUGGUGUCGCCGGCGGCAGCAGGCGCCCGAGGCUCCUCCAGGGACUGGGGGCGGGUGGAGAGCAGGGUCCCCUCACCGCGAGGCCAUGGGAAGGGGACACCGAGAAAGUGGCACCGGGCGGCGGGACCACGCCCCGCCCGCAGCCUCCACCCCGCGGGCCGCGCGCCCCUGAAGAGGGGCCUCCGCCCUGCAGAAAGCGGGAGUCCCUUGGGGCAGUAGCUCGGUGACCGGGGAUAGGGGAUUGCGCUUCCUCUGCAGGACGCCGACACCAGCCAUAAAAAUGCACCAAAGAAAAGCAGGUCCUUGGGGUCCUACUCUGGGAUCCGAGUUUGAAGUCAGGAUGCAUCGCUUUCAAGCUUUGAGAGUUUGGUCCACUUUUUCAGCUACAGAAUUUACAAAUAAUAGCCCUUGCAAGGGUCCAGUGAGCCGGAAAUUGCCUAGCCUAAGACAGCCAGACCGUGGCCGUAGUUUGCAUUUUUCUGUUUUCUUAUUGUAAAUGUCAUACCUAUUUGCCAUUAAGAACUCAUACUUUGCCAACUUAGAUUAAAACCUAUUGAGCCUUAUAAUUUCGCUUCCACCUUGGAUAACAGUUUGAUGAUGUUUUGCCCCAUGAUUUUAAAAACCUGUUUCCUUGCUGUGUGUCCCCAGGAAAUUACUUAACUUUCUUUGGAUCCCGGUUUCCUUAUCUGUCACCUGGCAGGAACGUUUUGAGGUAAACUGAAAUAGUGCACACAGAACACUUCAAAGAGUGCAAAUAGGAAUAUCAGCUUUACUGCAGAUUAGUGUUUUGUAAUAUUUUAAAAGAUAUUUCUGAGCUGUUUUUCUGUGCUAGAGAAGUCAAAGCAAUCAUUCUUUUCCACAGCUAUAGAAUAUGCUGCCCCCUGUCAUCACCUGUUCUAGGAGUCCUCUUCUGAGGAGUUUUGGGGUGGGUUCCUCCGGCUGUAAUAAACAGCUCCAACCCCUGGUGGGAGUCACUGUAGCAUCAGGUCCUAAGGGAGAUAUUUGCUAGGUAAAGCUCCCGGUGGUUUGGCUCAAUCAGGGCCAGAGGCACUAAACUCAAUGACGCCAAGACAUUUCAGGAGUCAAGAUAGACCAUAUUUUAAUACAGUGGCUUUUAUAAUCAGAAUUAUUCUAAAAACACCCAUGAAGAGCAAAAUAUCACGAUUUUAAAGACAGAUCUAGCCAGGCAACUCGGGAGGCUGAGGUGGCAGGAUCACAAGUUUGAGGCCACCCUCAGCAACUUAGUGAGACCCUGUCUCAAAAUAAAAAAAAAUAAAAUAAAAUAAAAAGGUCUGGGGAUAGCUCAGUGGUAAAGUACCCCUGGAUUCAAUCCCCAGUAACAAAAAAGAAAUGAAAGACAAAUAAAUAAAUAAAAUAAUAACAAAGACAGGAUCUAACAGUGCCAUGCUGUGACUUCACUAGAGCCUGUGGCCAAAGGAAAGGGGGACUCCGCAUACAUAUCUUUAUGUAAUUCCCCCCCAAACAUUAAAGUAGUUGGAAAAUAUAUUGAAAAGUUGAAAAUAAGUGCAUUAAAACUCACAGUAUCAUUUUAUUUUUAAAUAUUUUAUUGGCAACCCAAACAGAAUCUAUGUCAACCUUUUUAUUUGCUGGCUUUAAUGAAAGCAAAUUCAUUGCUAAUAAUUUAAAAAUCUCCUUCUGAAAAGAAAUUAGCUGGUGCAAAAAAACAUGAGAUAAAAGCACAUUUAUGUUAGGGAUGCACAUUUUUUCUUUGGCACCAGGUACUGUCAAUCUGCAUUUCUAAGGGUCACACCACUCUUUUUUUAGUACCUGCCUUUCAGGCAACUUCUGGGAUUAAGCUGCUUUCAGCAGAGAGUCAUUGUCUGCACAUUCGGCUCUUUGGUGAGGAGCCUGGUCCGGGGCCUACCUGGGCUGGCUUUUUGGUCCGCUCACUUGUGAGAAACGCCCAGACACCCCGGGAAGCCGGCUGGCUCAGGUUCCCCAGGCUCUGGGAGCGGCCUUAUCUCAGAUCAGCAGCGCCUCAUUCUCAGGAAAGCCUUUUAACUCUGGGGUAGACAAGCUCAAAAGUCUAGAGCUGCCCUGGGGGCACUGGGGCACUGGGAGCAGCUCCUGGGUGGACCAGAUGAGGGACACUGGCUGCCCAGAGCUCCUUGGUGCUCCCUUACCUGCGGCCAGCCAUGCCACGCGGCUCCCUUCCUGCCUUUCUUUGCCCCCCCUCAGUGGAUUGAUUCCCUGAGCCACUGCACUGAGCAGUCUGGAGUCAAACCCUGGGACCAAAGCGAAUUAGUCACAGUCUCUGGAGCUCAGCGGGGCAGACAGAGGGGGAUAAACCAAGAAUUUCCAAGAUCUCCUCAUGUCUGUCGUUAUCUCAGGACCGCCUCCCUGGAGACCUGGGAGGGCUGGGGACGAUGAUACGAUGAUACUGGCAACAUCGAUGGAUGGCCCUGACAAUAGCACUGAUCAAGGGGUUGUCUACAUUAACCAGGCAGUCCUCCUCCGGAUCCCGUGAGGUGCUAUUGAAGCUCCAUUUUACAGGUGAAACCCAGGGACAGAGGACUCACUCACUUGCCCAAGGGCCUGCGAUGGUGAGCAGCAAUGUCGGGAUAAUAUCCGGGGGUCCAGCUCUGGAAUCUGUGCUCUUGCUGUGACACUGUGGCCUCAGGUCCCUCCCUCCGUCUUCUGCAUCGUGGAAAAUGGUAUAAACCAAAAAGGAAAAUACAAUGGAAAUCCAAGAAUCCAGGCACGUGGCUUACCCCUCUUACCUGGUUCUUUCCACUCUUGACUUGUGGCCACUCAGAUAUCAGAGACCCCGGACCCUGGCUUCCCAGAGGCUGUCCCUAGAGAAGGACCUUCCACCUGUGGAUCAGUUGAGAGAUGGAGGUGAUGAUCCAGGGAGAAGUGACAAAACAGGUGACAGAGGACAUGACUGGGAUGCAUUCUGCCCCGGGACGAGGGAGCAGGGUGUCACUCACUGAUUGGGAUCUGCUGGGGGUGCCCCUUGCUGCUCUUGCUCCUCCCCCUCUCCUUGUGGAGAAGAGAAGAAGCGAGAGAGCCCCCCCCCCCCUGCACAGCGCCAGGUGGGCAAUGGGCUUGGGGCGCCUGGGGCCGCCCACCUGUGCUCAGAGGGAGCCGGCUGCAGGGAGGGGAGUGAGGCCUUCCCCUCCACCUCCACCUGGGGCAGGCUGUGGGCUUCUGGGGGCCUGGACCCAGCGGCACUGGCCCAUCCUGAGUGUUGGGCGGGGAAAGGGGCCUGGGGUGGAGGAGGACAGGUGUCCGCAGUGAGCAUUUUUGGCAGGAGGAAGGCUGUGCAAGGGGAUGGAGGAGUGGAGGCUACUCCCAAGAGCCUCCUCAUUCCAACCAGAUGUGAUGGCAGGCAUUUAAUGAGCACCUACUGUUUGCCUGGCACAACACUUAGUGAUUUUCUUGUGUGAUUUCACUGCAAAACUUGCUCUCGGAUCCCCAUAUUUGAAUAAGGAAGGGGAUGCUCAGGGUACUGGGAGCCAUUAGCCAAGUAGGUAUGACAAUUCCCUUGCCAGCAUACCCCAUGUUGCAGUGACAUUGAAUGUAGGUGACCUUGCUCAAGGACCAGGGUGGAUUAGGGUGUUCCCGGUUUAAGAUAAUCGUGUUUAGGGCGUUCCCAGUUUAGGUUCCAGGUUUAAGAUUAUUCCUGCUGGGAGUAGGGCGUAUCCUGCUGCCUGAGUUCCCCUUGAGUUCUCACGGGAUUCAGAGUAUAUUUUGGGAGACAGAAGCCCAGUGGAUGGGAUUUGGGCAGAGAAUGUGAUUUGGGCAGAGAACGUGGAUUUCCCCAGAACGUGAUUGUAGACGGCUGGUGUGAGUUCGGGAAUAAAGAGUUGCUGUUUGAAUCUACAAGCUGUGUGGUGGCUCGUGAUUGUGUGCCCAGCCAGACUGCGGCAUCAGGGAAAUGAGAACUCUGCCUAAAACCACAGACACAUGGUGGAGUCGGGUUAGAACCAGGUCCGUCUCAUUUGCCAGACCCAAUCACUUUCACCUCACGUUCUUUCUCUGGAUCUUCCUGCGUCUCUGAGGUUCACGAUUCCUAUCAAUCUGGACCAUCAGGGCAACA